RNAcentral lists this ribosomal RNA (641 nucleotides) under uncultured marine eukaryote. Its description in RNAcentral is "SSU rRNA". It matches the Rfam family "Eukaryotic small subunit ribosomal RNA", at positions 616 to 1261 of the family's 1831-position model. The record is from RNAcentral.
CGGUUAAAAAGCUCGUAGUUGGAUUUCUGUUGAGGACGUCCGGUCCACACUAUGUGCGUGUAUCUGGUUCGGCCUUGGCAUCCUCUUGAGGAACGUAUCUGCGCUUGAUUGCGUGGAGCGGUAUUCAAGACUUUUACUUUGAGGAAAUUAGAGUGUUCACGGCAGGCAAGCGCCUUGAAUACAUUAGCAUGGAAUAAUAAUAUAGGAUCUUGGUUCUAUUUUGUUGGUUUCUAGAGCUAAGGUAAUGAUUAAUAGGGAUAAUUGGGGGCAUUUGCAUUAACGCGUCAGAGGUGGAAUUCUUGGAUUGCGUUACGACAAACUACUGCGAAAGCAUUUGCCAAGGAUGUUUUCAUUGAUCAAGAACGAAAGUAUGGGGAUCGAAGAUGAUUAGAUACCGUCGUAGUCUAUACCAUAAACUAUGCCGACUAGGGAUUGGAGGUCGUUCUUUUUAUGACUCCUUCAGCACCUCAUGAGAAAUCAAAGUCUUUGGGUUCCGGGGGGAGUAUAGUCGCAAGGCUGAAACUUAAAGGAAUUGACGGAAGGGCACCACCAGGAGUGGAGCCUGCGGCUUAAUUUGACUCAACACGGGGAUACUCACCAGGUCCAGACAUAGUAAGGAUUGACAGAUUGAUAGCUCUUUC